This 76-nucleotide transfer RNA is filed under the name Alphaproteobacteria bacterium. Its description in RNAcentral is "tRNA-Arg". It matches the Rfam family "tRNA". From Rfam's summary of the family: Transfer RNA (tRNA) molecules are approximately 80 nucleotides in length. The record is from RNAcentral. Lineage: Bacteria; Pseudomonadati; Pseudomonadota; Alphaproteobacteria.
CACCCGUAGCUCAGCUGGAUAGAGCGCUGCCCUCCGAAGGCAGAGGUCAGAGGUUCGAAUCCUCUUGGGUGCGCCA